UUUAAGGGUUUCACGGCUGCU
RNAcentral lists this microRNA (21 nucleotides) under Rosa chinensis. RNAcentral describes it as "sRNA RchiOBHm_Chr3g0492055". The record is from RNAcentral. Lineage: Eukaryota; Viridiplantae; Streptophyta; Magnoliopsida; Rosales; Rosaceae.